This 482-nucleotide ribosomal RNA is filed under the name uncultured bacterium. Its description in RNAcentral is "partial 16S ribosomal RNA". It matches the Rfam family "Bacterial small subunit ribosomal RNA", at positions 30 to 507 of the family's 1533-position model. The record is from RNAcentral.
AUUGAACGCUGGCGGCAUGCCUUACACAUGCAAGUCGAACGGUAACAGGUCUUCGGAUGCUGACGAGUGGCGAACGGGUGAGUAAUACAUCGGAACGUGCCCGAUCGUGGGGGAUAACGGAGCGAAAGCUUUGCUAAUACCGCAUACGAUCUACGGAUGAAAGCAGGGGACCGCAAGGCCUUGCGCGGACGGAGCGGCCGAUGGCAGAUUAGGUAGUUGGUGGGAUAAAAGCUUACCAAGCCGACGAUCUGUAGCUGGUCUGAGAGGACGACCAGCCACACUGGGACUGAGACACGGCCCAGACUCCUACGGGAGGCAGCAGUGGGGAAUUUUGGACAAUGGGCGAAAGCCUGAUCCAGCCAUGCCGCGUGCAGGAUGAAGGCCUUCGGGUUGUAAACUGCCUUUGUACGGAACGAAAAGACUCUUUCUAAUAAAGAGGGUCCAUGACGGUACCGUAAGAAUAAGCACCGGCUAACUACGUG